UGGGGAAUCGUCUAAUGGUAGGACAGCAGGCUUUGAACCUGUCAAUCCUGGUUCGAGCCCAGGUUCCCCAGCCA
Molecule: transfer RNA, 74 nt
Filed under: Candidatus Wolfebacteria bacterium
Lineage: Bacteria; Candidatus Wolfeibacteriota
Description: tRNA-Gln
Rfam family: tRNA
About the family: Transfer RNA (tRNA) molecules are approximately 80 nucleotides in length. Their secondary structure includes four short double-helical elements and three loops (D, anti-codon, and T loops).
Source: RNAcentral